This 580-nucleotide ribosomal RNA is filed under the name Elmidae gen. sp. 3 MF-2023a. Its description in RNAcentral is "partial large subunit ribosomal RNA". It matches the Rfam family "Bacterial large subunit ribosomal RNA", at positions 1845 to 2695 of the family's 2925-position model. Lineage: Eukaryota; Metazoa; Arthropoda; Insecta; Coleoptera; Elmidae. The record is from RNAcentral.
AUAUAAGAUUUGACCUGCCCGCUGAUAGUGAGUUGAAUGGCCGCGGUAUUUUGACCGUGCAAAGGUAGCAUAAUAAUUAGUUUUUUAAUUGAAAGCUGGAAUGAAUGGUUGGACGAGAAAACAACUGUCUCUGAUUAAUUUGAAAAUUGAAUUUUAUUUUUGAGUCAAAAAGCUUAAAUGUUGUUAAAAGACGAGAAGACCCUAUAGAGUUUAAUAUUUUGUUUAAGAUUGAUUAUUAAGUAUUUAAUUUUUAUUUUAUUAAUGUAUUUUAUUGGGGUGAUAGAAAGGUUUAAUUAACCCUUUUUAAUUGUUAACAUGAAUAAAAGAGUUUUUGAUCCAAUUGGUUUGAUUAUAAGAUUAAAUUACCUUAGGGAUAACAGCGUAAUCUUUUUUGAGAGUUCUUAUCGAAACAAGGGAUUGCGACCUCGAUGUUGGAUUAAAAUUAAUUUUUGGUGCAGAAGCUAAAUAAGUUGAGUCUGUUCGACUUUUAAAAUUUUACAUGAUCUGAGUUUAAACCGGCGUGAGCCAGGUUGGUUUCUAUCUUUAAUUUGAUUAUAACAUUUUAGUACGAAAGGACCAA